UGCAUUCACUACUGUAAAUCGCUCUGGAUAAGAGCGUCUGCUAAAUGACUAAAU
Molecule: non-coding RNA, 54 nt
Organism: Salmo salar (Atlantic salmon)
Lineage: Eukaryota; Metazoa; Chordata; Actinopteri; Salmoniformes; Salmonidae
Source: Rfam